Molecule: ribosomal RNA, 24 nt
Filed under: Cercospora beticola
Lineage: Eukaryota; Fungi; Ascomycota; Dothideomycetes; Mycosphaerellales; Mycosphaerellaceae
Also listed under: 1 other name
Description: partial 28S ribosomal RNA
Source: RNAcentral
UUAACAUCAAAUCAGGUAGCAAAA